RNAcentral lists this ribosomal RNA (1501 nucleotides) under uncultured Gemmatimonadota bacterium. Its description in RNAcentral is "bacterial SSU rRNA". It matches the Rfam family "Bacterial small subunit ribosomal RNA". The record is from RNAcentral. Lineage: Bacteria; Pseudomonadati; Gemmatimonadota.
GCCUAACACAUGCAAGUCGAAGGGCAGCAUGAGGUGUAGCAAUACACCUUGAUGGCGAGUGGCGGACGGGUGAGGAAUGCAUCGGAAUCUGGCCAGUCGUGGGGGAUAACCCGGGGAAUCCCGGACUAAUACCGCAUACGACCUUCGGGUGAAAGCCGGGGUCCCUUCGGGGCCUCGCGCGAUUGGAUGAGCCGAUGCCGGAUUAGCUUGUUGGCGGGGUAAGGGCCCACCAAGGCGACGAUCCGUAGCUGGUCUAAGAGGAUGAUCAGCCACACUGGGACUGAGACACGGCCCAGACUCCUACGGGAGGCAGCAGUGGGCAAUAUUGGACAAUCGGGGGAACCCUGAUCCAGCAAUCCCGCGUGUGUGAAUAAGGCCUUCGGGUUGUAAAGCGCCUUUAUCGGGAACGAAACAUUGUCGGCCAAUACCCGGGAAGACUGACGGUACCCCAGGAAUAAGCACCGGCUAACGCCGUGCCAGCAGCCGCGGUAAAACGGAGGGUGCAAGCGUUAAUAGGAAUUACUGGGCGCAAAGCGUGCGCAGGCGGUUAGUUAAGUCUGUUGUGAAAUCCCCGAGCUCAACUUGGGAAUUGCAAUGCAUACUGGCAGGCUGGAGUAUGGUUGAGGAAGGUGGAAUUCCCGGUGUAGCAGUGAAGUGCGUAGAGAUCGGGUGGAACACCAGUGGCGAAGGCGCCUUCUAGAGCCAGUACUGACGCUCAUGCACGAAAGCGUGGGAGCAAACAGGAUUAGAUACCCUGGUUGUCCACGCCCUAAACGAUGCGAACUGGAUGUGGGUACAUUACGGUACUCAGUGUCGAAGCUAACGCGUUAAGUUCGCCGCCUGGGGAGAACGGUCGCAAGACUGAAACUCAAAGGAAAUGACGGGGGCCCGCAUAAGCGGUGGAGUAUGUGGUUCAAUUCGAUGCAACGCGAAGAUCCUUACCUGGCCUUGACAUCUGUCGAAUCCUGCAGAGAAGCGGGAGUCCCGCAAGGAACGACAAGACAGGUGCCGCAUGGCUGUCGUCAGCUCGUGUGGUGAGAUGUUGGGUUAAGUCACGCAACGAGCGCAACCCUUGUCCUUAGUUGCCAGCACGUAAUGGUGGGAUCUCUAGGGAGACUGCCGGUGACAAACCGGAGGAAGGUGGGCAUGACGUCAAGUCCUCAUGGCCCUUACGGCCAGGGCAACACACGUACUACAAUGGUGGGUACAGAGGGUUGCGAAGCCGCUAGGCGAAGCCAAUCCCAGAAAACCGAUCCAAGUCCGGAUUGGAGUCUGCAACUCGACUCCAUCAAGUCGGAAUCGCUAGUAAUCGCGAAUCAGCAAUGUCGCGGUGAAUACGUUCCCGGGCCUUGUACACAACGCCCGUCACACCAUGGGAGUUGGCUGCUCCAGAAGCAGGUAGUCUAACCGCAAGGAGGACGCCUACCACGGUGUGGUCAAUGACUCGGGUGAAGUCGUAACAAGGUAGCCGUAUCGCAAGGUGCGGCUGGAUCACCACCUU